Molecule: non-coding RNA, 129 nt
Organism: Escherichia sp. KTE159
Lineage: Bacteria; Pseudomonadati; Pseudomonadota; Gammaproteobacteria; Enterobacterales; Enterobacteriaceae
Source: Rfam
AAAGAUCGAUACCGAGGGGGGCACGACGCCCCGGAGAACCCCCUGCUCUUGCAGGCAGUCUGUACCGCGUACAGCCUGAAACUCCCUAAACCUCAACAAACUGCCACUCCGACGUGAAGGUAUCGUUCU